This 429-nucleotide ribosomal RNA is filed under the name Chloroflexota bacterium. RNAcentral's name for it is "Chloroflexi bacterium partial 16S ribosomal RNA". It matches the Rfam family "Bacterial small subunit ribosomal RNA", at positions 355 to 776 of the family's 1533-position model. Lineage: Bacteria; Bacillati; Chloroflexota. The record is from RNAcentral.
UGGGGAAUAUUGCACAAUGGGCGCAAGCCUGAUGCAGCCAUGCCGCGUGUAUGAAGAAGGCCUUCGGGUUGUAAAGUACUUUCAGCGGGGAGGAAGGGAGUAAAGUUAAUACCUUUGCUCAUUGACGUUACCCGCAGAAGAAGCACCGGCUAACUCCGUGCCAGCAGCCGCGGUAAUACGGAGGGUGCAAGCGUUAAUCGGAAUUACUGGGCGUAAAGCGCACGCAGGCGGUUUGUUAAGUCAGAUGUGAAAUCCCCGGGCUCAACCUGGGAACUGCAUCUGAUACUGGCAAGCUUGAGUCUCGUAGAGGGGGGUAGAAUUCCAGGUGUAGCGGUGAAAUGCGUAGAGAUCUGGAGGAAUACCGGUGGCGAAGGCGGCCCCCUGGAAGAAGACUGACGCUCAGGUGCGAAAGCGUGGGGAGCAAACAGG